ACGGAAGGCAGCAGUGAGGAAUAUUGGUCGAUGGGCGCAAGCCUGAACCAGCCAAGUAGCGUGAAGGAUGACUGCCCCAUGGGUUGUAAACUUCUUUUAUAUGGGAAUAAAGUGAGCCACGUGUGGUUUUUUGUAUGUACCAUAUGAAUAAGCAUCGGCUAAUUCCGUGCCAGCAGCCGCGGUAAUACGGAAGAUGCGAGCGUUAUCCGGAUUUAUUGGGUUUAAAGGGAGCGUAGGCGGGUCCUUAAGUCAGUGGUCAAAGCGUGUGGCUCAACCAUACCACGCCGUUGAUACUGGGGACCUUGAGUGCACAUAAGGAUGGUGGAAUUCGUCGUGUAGCGGUGAAAUGCUUAGAUAUGACGAAGAGCUCCGAUUGCGAAGGCAGCUGACUGUAGCGUAACUGACGCUGAUGCUCGAAAGUGCGGGUAUCGAACAGGAUUAGAUACCCUGGUA
This 453-nucleotide ribosomal RNA is filed under the name uncultured Bacteroides sp. RNAcentral describes it as "partial 16S ribosomal RNA". It matches the Rfam family "Bacterial small subunit ribosomal RNA", at positions 341 to 792 of the family's 1533-position model. The record is from RNAcentral. Lineage: Bacteria; Pseudomonadati; Bacteroidota; Bacteroidia; Bacteroidales; Bacteroidaceae.